Brassica oleracea var. oleracea is the source of this 2801-nucleotide long non-coding RNA. RefSeq lists it as uncharacterized. The transcript is spliced from 5 exons. The record is from RefSeq and is a predicted model, not a curated record. Lineage: Eukaryota; Viridiplantae; Streptophyta; Magnoliopsida; Brassicales; Brassicaceae.
UCGACAGUCUUGAGAUAAUUACAAAAUCCCCAAUUCAAAAACCCUAAAAGAUUUCCAAUUCGUAAACCUAAAUCAAAGAAGAUUAAUGAAGCAAAUUUUGUCGUGUGAAGGAGGUUUGUAGUUUAAUAUCAAACAAAUCAAACGAAAUGAAUCACAGUGAACCUUUCAUGAAGAUGCACAUUACUUAUGGAGGGUUGAUGUCGCUUGAAGAGAAUAAGUUCUCUUAUUCUGGUGGAAGGUUGGCCAAGGAUUAUCGUAUAGAUCCAGAUUUGAUGACUUUGUCAAUUUUCCAGGAAUUCACAGAAAAACAAGGAGUUGCAAAUGGCGUGGAGAAAGUUUGGUACAGACUACCGAGUGAGAACAUUUCAGUCGCAAGAUGCAUAUACAAAAACAAGGACAACGAGAUCAGAAAGAUGUGUUCAGAAGUAGCAGAAGUGGGUGAAGUUUAUGUGUACAUCGAACAUGGUGUGUGUGUCUCAACCAAUUAUGGGUAAUGCUUCUGAUAUAGAAGCACAUUUGGCUGGUGGAGAUGAUGGUGAAGAUGCUGAUAAUGAAAAAGAAGAUGAAGAAGAAGAAGAAGAGGUUUCUGAUGGUGAGUUAGGUCCAGAAGAAAACAAUGAUGAUGAGGUUGGUAAUGAUGAAAACAGAGAGUCUGAAAGCGAAUAUGAGAAUGGAAAUGCUGGUGAAGAGCAUGCUAAUGAAAGAGAUGGUCAGCCAUCUGAAGAUGAAGCUGAAAUUGUAGGUGAUGGAGCUGUAGAUGCUAGAUUUGAAAAUUUGUUUGCAAAUGCUGAAGAGGAAGCAAUGACAAGGUACGAUACUACUCAUGUAUGUGGUGAGUCUAGCUAAGAUAGUGAAAAUGAAGAGGAGAAUGUAACUGAGGUUGGUGAAUAUCCGGAUUCUCCAGUUGAUACUGAUGAAGAGUGGGCAAACUUGGUAGACGUACGUGUAGGAAAGGAAAAAGAAGCGUGACUGACUAUGACAAGCCACCAUACUUGUGGCUAAUGCAGACGUUUAACAACGGAGACGAGUUCAAAGAUCAAUUGUUGAGGUAUGUUCUGAAAACUCAGUGUGAUGUGAAGCUUAAUAGGUGGGAGUCUACAAAACAAGCAGCAAUAUGCACUGAGCCAAAACGUGAUUGGAGAAUAUAUUGCUCUGUGGAGAAACCUAUCAGAAAAUGGAUGGUUAAAGUCUAUGAAGACAAGCACAAUCACGUGCCUACGGGAAGAGCAAGGAUGCUAAAACAAGGAACUAUUGCCAAGUUGUUUAAAGAGGAAGCAAGAAGAAGACCUGACAUAAGAAGUACAUACAUUAAGGAUGAGUUGAUGCACAUGUACAACGUAUUGGUUUCAAUUUAUAAGUGCAGAAAAGCAAGAAGGAUUGCCUUAGAUAUGGUGUUGGAAACUCAGAAGCAACAAUUUUAGAAGUUGUGGGACUAUGAAGCCGAGUUAUUGCGAUCUAACAAGGACACUACUACAGAGAUUGUGACUGUCGAGAAGGAUGGUAAACAAGUAUUUGAUCGCUUCUAUGUCUGUUUUGAACCUCUUAGAAGAACUUGGAAGAGAUCUUGUCGUCCUUUGAUAGGUUUAGAUGGUGCUUUUUUAAAGUGGGAAUUGAAGGGAGAGAUAUUAUCAGCAGUUGGUAGGGAUGCAGAAAAUAGAAUUUAUCCUAUAGCUUGGGCUGUUGUAAGGGGCGAAGACAAGGAUUCUUGGGAAUGGUUCAUUACAAAAUUGAAAAACGACUUGGAUUUAGGCUUAGGAGAUGGAUACUCUUUUCACUCAGACAAGCAAAAGGGUUUACAAAUUGCUCUUGCUACUGUUCUCCCAAAUGCUGAGCAUAGGGUAUGUGCAAGGCAUGUGUAUGGAAAUUGGAAGAAAAAGUUUGGGGAUCUUGACUAUAAGCCUUUCUUCUGGAAAGUGGCAUAUAGUUACACUAAAGGAGAGUAUACACUGCACAUGGAUGAGCUGCUUUUGUAUGACAGAGAGGCGUAUGAAACAUUGUUGGCUGCAGAACAGAACAUUGGUGUCGAGCUUUCUUCUCAAAAACUGGAAGGUCGGCUAAUGUUUGCAACAACCUUUCAGAAAGCUUCAACCGGACCAUCAAAAAGGCUAGGGAAUUGCCUUUGAUUAAUAUGUUGGAAACCAUCAGAAGACAAGCCAUGAUGCGUAUUUCUCGUAGGUUUAAGAGGGCAGCCAAAUGUAUAAUGCAAUUCCCGCAAAGAAUAGCAGAUGUGUUGGAGGUGAAUAGAAAAAAACAGCAAAGACUGCCAAAUCAUGGUAAGUAGUGAUAACUUGUAUGAGGUUUUAGUGCAUGAUUUAAGUCAUGAGAUCAGCCUGAGAAUGGGAACGUGUGCUUGUGGGCGUUGGGACCUAGUUGGUAUACCUUGCAACCAUGCAAUUUGUGUCAUCAAUGACAUUCGUCGAAAACCAGAAGAGUAUGUUGUUAACUACUAUAAAACUCCAGUGUGGAUAGACACAUAUAGGGACAACAUCAAACCAGUCAAUGGGGAGCUCUAUUGGAAUAAAACUGGUAAGGGACCCAUUGGUGUUCCUGGAUUUAAAAAGAUGCCAGGACGUCCUAAGAAAAAGAGAAUUGCACCAGCUCAUGAGUCCCCAUCAAAGCCCAAUAGAACAACUCAUGGGAGGAGGACUAUCACUUGUAGUAAUUGCAAACAGGUUGGACAUAACAAAGAGACUUGUAAGAAUCAAUCUUUUGUGGUUGAAGGUCCAAAACGAAAACGUGGAAGACCUCGAUGAUACCUGUUGAUGGUGAAAGCUACCCGUCUCCUCCACCUAAAAGACAAA